RNAcentral lists this ribosomal RNA (711 nucleotides) under Flavobacterium johnsoniae. Its description in RNAcentral is "bacterial SSU rRNA". It matches the Rfam family "Bacterial small subunit ribosomal RNA", at positions 107 to 816 of the family's 1533-position model. Lineage: Bacteria; Pseudomonadati; Bacteroidota; Flavobacteriia; Flavobacteriales; Flavobacteriaceae. The record is from RNAcentral.
UGCGUAACGCGUAUGCAAUCUGCCUUUCACAGAGGGAUAGCCCAGAGAAAUUUGGAUUAAUACCUCAUAGUAUUAUAGGGUGGCAUCACUUUAUAAUUAAAGUCACAACGGUGAAAGAUGAGCAUGCGUCCCAUUAGCUAGUUGGUAAGGUAACGGCUUACCAAGGCAACGAUGGGUAGGGGUCCUGAGAGGGAGAUCCCCCACACUGGUACUGAGACACGGACCAGACUCCUACGGGAGGCAGCAGUGAGGAAUAUUGGACAAUGGGCGCAAGCCUGAUCCAGCCAUGCCGCGUGCAGGAUGACGGUCCUAUGGAUUGUAAACUGCUUUUGUACGAGAAGAAACACUCCUAUGUAUAGGAGCUUGACGGUAUCGUAAGAAUAAGGAUCGGCUAACUCCGUGCCAGCAGCCGCGGUAAUACGGAGGAUCCAAGCGUUAUCCGGAAUCAUUGGGUUUAAAGGGUCCGUAGGCGGUUUAGUAAGUCAGUGGUGAAAGCCCAUCGCUCAACGGUGGAACGGCCAUUGAUACUGCUGAACUUGAAUUACUGGGAAGUAACUAGAAUAUGUAGUGUAGCGGUGAAAUGCUUAGAUAUUACAUGGAAUACCAAUUGCGAAGGCAGGUUACUACCAGUGGAUUGACGCUGAUGGACGAAAGCGUGGGGAGCGAACAGGAUUAGAUACCCUGGUAGUCCACGCCGUAAACGAUGGAUAC